RNAcentral lists this long non-coding RNA (271 nucleotides) under Mytilus galloprovincialis (Mediterranean mussel). Lineage: Eukaryota; Metazoa; Mollusca; Bivalvia; Mytilida; Mytilidae. The record is from RNAcentral.
UUCGUUCGUCCGUUCGUUCGUCCGUUCGUUCGUCCGUUCGUCCGUCUGUCCCGCUUCAGGUUAAAGUUUUUGGUCGAGGUAGUUUUUGAUGAAGUUGAAGUCCAAUCAACUUGAAACUUAGUACACAUGUUCCUUAUGAUAUGAUCUUUCUAAUUUAAAUGCCAAAUUAGAGUUUUGACCCCAAUUUUACGGUUCACUGAUAGAAAAUGAUAGUGCAAAUUUCAGGUUAAAGUUUUUGGCUUCAGGUUAAAGUUUUGGUCAAGGUAGUUUU